UUAUUAAUUUUUUUAUAAUUUAUAUUUUUUUAAUUAUUUUAUAAUAAAUAUAUAUAUAUUUAGUAUAUUUUAUAGAAAUAAGUUUAUUAAUUAUAAUAUUAACUGUAAAGGUUUUAAUUUAUUUAUUUAAAAGUAAUUAUUUGUUGGUGUACCUUUUGUAUCAGGGUUUAUUAAUUUAAAUUUAUUUAAAUAAAUUUCCCGAAAGUUAAGGAUAUAUAUUUUUAUGGUUAUUUAAGUUUUAAAUUAAAAAUUAAUUUUAAUAUAGAUGUUAUAUGCUUUUCAACUUUUUUAUAUCUGGUUUUUUCUUAAUUAAAUUUAAUUUAUUAUAUAAUUGAUUUAUAAAUUUUUAUUUUUUAAUUAGUUAUAAUUAAUUAUAAAAGGGAUAAGCUUUUUAUUAAAAUUUAUAACUUAUUUUAGAUAUAAUAAUUUUUUUAGAAUUAAAAUUGUUCAUUUUAGUUUUUUAUAAAAAUGAUUAUUUUUUUUGUUUAAUUUUUUUUAGUUUAAAAUUUUAGGAAAAUUUUUUAUUUAAUUUAUUAAUAUAAUUGAUAAUGAUAAAAUUAGUAUUAAUUAUAAUAUUGGUUUAAGAAUUCAGCAAAUUUUAUUUUCGACUGUUUAAUAAAAACAUUUCUUUAUAGUAAAAUUAUAAAGUAUAACCUGCUCAAUGAAUUUUUAAAUAGCCGCGAUUUAAUCGUGCGAAGGUAGCAUAAUAAUUUGUCUUUUAAUUGAAGUCUUGAAUGAAGGGUUGAACGAGAAAUAUACUUUUUUAAUCAAUAUUUUAAAAAUUUAAUUUUCUAGUUAAAAAGCUAGAAUAAAUUUAUGGGACGAUAAGACCCUAUAGAAUUUUAUUUAAAAAUAAAUUUAGUUUUGAUUUAUAUUUAUUAACCAAAUUUAUUUUUAAAUUUGGUUGGGGAGAUUAUUACAAUUAAUUAACUGUAAUUUUAAAAAUUCAUUAAUUUAUGAUUUUUAUGAUCCUAAAUUUUGGAUUAUAAGAAUAAAUUACCUUAGGGAUAACAGCGUCAUUUCUUUGGAAAGUUCAUAUUUAUAAGGGAGUUUGCGACCUCGAUGUUGGAUUAAAAUUAAGUUAUGGUGCAGAAGCUAUAAUAUUAAGUCUGUUCGACUUUUAAAAUUUUACAUGAUCUGAGUUAAGACCGGCGUGAGCCCAGGUGGUUUCUAUCUAUAAAUUUCAUAUAAUAUUUUAGUACGAAAGGACCAAUUAUUAUAAAAAUAUUUAU
Molecule: ribosomal RNA, 1232 nt
Filed under: Agramma hupehanum
Lineage: Eukaryota; Metazoa; Arthropoda; Insecta; Hemiptera; Tingidae
Description: 16S ribosomal RNA
Rfam family: Archaeal large subunit ribosomal RNA (bases 1007-1166)
Source: RNAcentral